Long non-coding RNA from Oncorhynchus keta (chum salmon), 602 nucleotides. RefSeq lists it as uncharacterized. The record is from RefSeq and is a predicted model, not a curated record. The transcript is spliced from 5 exons. Lineage: Eukaryota; Metazoa; Chordata; Actinopteri; Salmoniformes; Salmonidae.
GAGAGGUGUGUCUCUGCUGGUCCUGGUAGUUCCAUACUGUGAGAGGUGUGUCUCUGCUGGUCCUGGUAGUUCCAUACUGUGAGAGGUGUGUCUCUGCUGGUCCUGGUAGUUCCAUACUGUGAGAGGUGUGUCUCUGCUGGUCCUGGUAGUUCCAUACUGUGAGAGGUGUGUCUCUGCUGGUCCUGGUAGUUCCAUACUGUGAGAGGUGUGUCUCUGCUGGUCCUGGUAGUUCCAUACUGUGAGAGGUGUGUCUCUGCUGGUCCUGGUAGUUCCAUACUGUGAGAGGUGUGUCUCUGCUGGUCCUGGUAGUUCCAUACUGUGAGAGGUGUGUCUCUGCUGGUCCUGGUAGUUCCAUACUGUGAGAGGUGUGUCUCUGCUGGUCCUGGUAGUUCCAUACUGUGAGAGGUGUGUCUCUGCUGGUCCUGGUAGUUCCAUACUGUGAGAGGUGUGUCUCUGCUGGUCCUGGUAGUUCCAUACUGUGAGAGGUGUGUCUCUGCUGGUCCUGGUAGUUCCAUACUGUGAGAGGUGUGUCUCUGCUGGUCCUGGUAGUUCCAUACUGUGAGAGGUGUGUCUCUGCUGGUCCUGGUAGUUCCAUACUGUGA